UGUGAGAGCGGGCUUGCUCGCGAUGGCGUCAGUCACACACUGGCACACCGCUAUCGCGAGCAAGCUCGCUCCCACA
This 76-nucleotide unclassified non-coding RNA is filed under the name Pseudomonas sp. NFACC16-2. RNAcentral also lists the same sequence under 2 other names. The record is from RNAcentral. Lineage: Bacteria; Pseudomonadati; Pseudomonadota; Gammaproteobacteria; Pseudomonadales; Pseudomonadaceae.